UAUAUGUUGGUGGAGGGUGUCGCGGUAAUACGUAGGUGGGUAAGGGGUGCCGGAAUUAAUGAGCGUAAGUCCCGAACAGGAGGAUCGUUAAGUCUGUUGUGAAAGCCCACGGCGCAACCGUGGAGGGUCAUUGGAAACUGGGGAACUUGAGUGCAGAAGAGGAGAGCGGAAUGCCACGUGUAGCGGUGAAAUGCGUAGAGAUGUGGAGGAACACCAGUGGCGAAGGCGUCUCUCUGGUCUGUAACUGACGCUGAGGCGCGAAAGCGUGGGGAGCGAACAGGAUUAGAUACCCGAGUAGUC
This 300-nucleotide ribosomal RNA is filed under the name uncultured Sulfophobococcus sp. RNAcentral's name for it is "bacterial SSU rRNA". It matches the Rfam family "Bacterial small subunit ribosomal RNA", at positions 496 to 795 of the family's 1533-position model. Lineage: Archaea; Thermoproteati; Thermoproteota; Thermoprotei; Desulfurococcales; Desulfurococcaceae. The record is from RNAcentral.